UAAAUAGAAUUAUAGAACACAUGAUUUCACAAAGAAUAUAGAGGACUAGAACCCCUGAGCAAAUCCUGGCCCUGGUAAGCUAUUGAGAGAUUUCUUCCCCCACCCCUGCCAUCGAUAUUUCGAAGAAAGAAUUUUUUUAACAAUAUUUUUCAGAGAAAUCCCCAGUCAAAUCAGAUAUUAUGUCGUUCACUCCAGUCAAUCAGUCAAGUCAGGGUUCUGUCACUGGGGAGAACAUCACAGCAGGUUCUGCGAUGGAAAAAAUUCUCACAGAGGAUGUGAUCAUGGAUG
RNAcentral lists this small RNA (288 nucleotides) under Histoplasma ohiense. Its description in RNAcentral is "hypothetical lncRNA". The record is from RNAcentral. Lineage: Eukaryota; Fungi; Ascomycota; Eurotiomycetes; Onygenales; Ajellomycetaceae.